Molecule: long non-coding RNA, 618 nt
Organism: Microplitis mediator
Lineage: Eukaryota; Metazoa; Arthropoda; Insecta; Hymenoptera; Braconidae
Exons: 4
Source: RefSeq, a predicted model, not a curated record
CGACGCGGAUUGUCGUACGUUCAUCAGUUAAUUAGAUAAAUUUUACGUCUCAGCAUAAAUUUAUCGCAAAAAAACAUUUAUCAUCAGAAAUGUCAAAGGACACAAUUUGUCAAUAUAUAAAAGUCAGCAAUCCGCAUCUCGUCACAUACAAGCUUGCAGAACUUCAGAAAAUAACAACCGCUUCAAGAUAUAAAAUAAAAACAUGUCGAAAAUAAUUUUAUUGUUAUCAAUUUUCGUAUCGGUUGUUAUCUAUUCUGGUGUGUAUGCAGAAUGUCCUGGCGGUUGGUGCCAUCCAGUAAAAGGAUAUGGCUGUUGUGAAGGAAAUCAAUGCACUGAAUGGCUGAGUCAAGGUGUAUGCAUUACUCAUGCGGAAGCCAAACUGCAACGUACAUUUAUGUUAGGGAAAUAAUUAUAACAAUACAAUGAAAGUUUAUAAAUGUAGAAUUUAGAAUUUUGUUUAUUAAUGCCAAGGCACAGGCCAAAUGGCAAAUUUUAUAACAUAGUAAUUACAUUUAUUACAAAAGAACAUAUAGUUGUGAGUACAUAGUACAACUACAUAAAAGAAGAAAUAUAAAUGUAUUUUAUAAAUUAAUAAAAAUCUCUCAAUUACAAAAAAAA